AUGAAAAAAAGCAACAAGGCAUAAAAGAUUUACAAGAUGCCAUAUCGGUCGAUGCCUUAGUUUAAUUAUUUGAUGGCGCACACGAAGAGUAUAAGUUAGUGCGCUUGGGCAGACAGCUAAUAGUUAGGUACAACAAACACCGGCACACUUUCUGUUUGCGGUUCGAGCAUGCACUUUAAAUAGUACUUGUGCUAAAAGUAACAAUAAAAUUGAGUGAAUCAUAAAAAAACGGCAUAUCUAUGUACAUGGAGUGUACAGCAUAUCAAAACCAUGGACACUUUCAAAUGCAUAAUGGAUUUUAUAACAAACGUUGCGGAAGUAAACUGCCAGAGCCGCAAAUAACACUGCAUCUGCAGUAAACUGGCUAAAAUUAAAGGACAAACACUAGGUAUUUUUAAAUCUCGAUUCGUUGGGAGUUAAAUCUUUUAAAACUUAGCGGGAGUGCUCGACUGCAAGUGUAGUGGAGCGUGUCCUUUUCAUUUAUUUUUUACAUAUAAAUAUAUACAUAUAUUAGGAUGCCCUUGUUGGUCCUUCUAUAAUGAAACAGUUAUAUAACGGAUGACCUUCAGGCUUCAGGUAGGCGGUUGAAUAAUAUAAUCGUAUACUUAAUUAACUAUAUAUCUUUAGAGAAACAUUUGUAUUACAUAACCUGCGAUGCACAUAAAAUACAGUAGUACAUUAAUCACAUGAGUAAUACUCGGAGUGGCAAAAGUAAAGCCCAACAUCAAUGGCGAUAAAAUGAUAAUUUACCGCCCAUAGAUAAAAGCGGUGCAUAAAUACAACAUGAAUGCAACAUAAUUAUCAUCUCAGAGAAAGAAAUAUUUAAUAUGUUUAUAUCAGGUGCGUUCGCAUCAUUACCUACUCGAAUAGUACUUAAAUAAUACGUCUGACUAGUGGCUGCUGUAGCUGUUAGUGACAGGGUUUUUGCUUCUCGUGUAUUUAUUAGAACAAUAAUGUACAGAUAUUGUGGGUAGUUUUUGCGUUUUGCAUGGUUUUUGUUUCCGACAAAAUUCAUACCUACAGGCUACAGAACAGAGACCGGCAACAAAACGGACAAGACAAAGGGAACCUCAGCAAAAGCACAGAGACAAGCGUUUAUCGCAGCUGUAUCAAACGCUACCCUAUCUGUGACAGCAGCGCAAAUUGCACCAGCGAAUCUGACCACAUCGAAGCCAUUGUUAUCGGCAACAACGAUGGGUUCCAAACCGAACACGACGGUAAUGAAUGCGUCCAGUGCAAGGCUAUCCAGCAGUACACCGGUGGUCCGCACAAUUGUAAUGCACCAGGAAGCCCGUGUCAUCCAAGCGAAGAACGACACAUGGUGGCCUUCGGAUUCAGUCAGAUACUGCCCAUAUUUCUGUCCCCCAUAUCCGGAACCGGAUUCACUGAGAUUUAAAGAAAAGUAAUGACAUUUAAAAAAGUGAAAAAGACUUUAGAGAUUCGUUUACGAAUACUCUACUCAUAAAUUUAUAUUUUGCUUAAUAAUUGAAGUUUGCGUUUACUCGCUAACUUGUUUUAACGAUGCGAGAGAAACGCCGGGAAGAGCUGCUCUCUCUUUCUGCACAGGAUUUCAAUGAUUAGCCGCCGGACUUUGAGCGAGCCGACGGAUGCUUUCUCCUCCUUCCUGGAAUAUACCACCGGCAUGUCUGCCAGCGAAUCGCCUGCCUUUCCUGUUUGCGUACGGUGUGCAAACUGCCAUUUCACCUACGGACUACCUAACCGUCAGUUCCAUCUCAUGCUAGCCUACUUGCAUUUAUCGAAUUUGUGUUUUUCGGUAUGUGCGAGCUUUUUGCAUGUUAUCCUCAUUUUUUGUGUUGUCAGAAUUGGAUGUUGAUCAUUGAAAGUUGACGUUGGUAAUUUUCCUGUUACCCGCCUUCCCAACCCUUAAGCAAUCAAGUUUUGUUUUUGCUGGCUUCGUCAGUUAUAUGAGCACUGUUGUGUAACUCAUUAAAGGUCAUUCCUCACUCGCGCUGCUCUCUCGCUAUGGUACGCACAGAAC
Molecule: RNA transcript, 1999 nt
Organism: Paramacrobiotus metropolitanus
Lineage: Eukaryota; Metazoa; Tardigrada; Eutardigrada; Parachela; Macrobiotidae
Exons: 2
Source: RefSeq, a predicted model, not a curated record